This 244-nucleotide unclassified non-coding RNA is filed under the name Hevea brasiliensis (rubber tree). Lineage: Eukaryota; Viridiplantae; Streptophyta; Magnoliopsida; Malpighiales; Euphorbiaceae. The record is from RNAcentral.
CACAGGGAUCUUUUCACUAUGGUCAAAUAAAUAUCACUGAAACAUAUAUAUUGAGGAUCUUGCCUCCAGUUACAAUUGAUGGGAAACAACGUGCAACUCUGAAUGGGAUAUCAUUUGUCAAUCCUGAUACACCGAUCAGGCUUGCUGACCUGCACAAUGUGAAGGGAGCUUACAAACUUGAUUUUCCUGAUAAGCCACUUGAUAGGCCUCCCCGAAUGGACAUAUCUGUCAUUAAUGCUACAUA